GCCGAGGUUUGAGGGAAAUUUUCUGUGCACCAUAGGUGGUGAACGACCGCACGCACCAUUCACUAUCAUUGACUCAUAUAUAGAAUUAAAAAAUAUUUUUUUUAUAUACCACAUUUUAAUUUCAUUCGUAAGCCAAUCAUGGUAGAUGGUAUAUGCAUUGUGCAUCAUCUAUGGUACACAUAGAAUUUUUCAUAUUUGAGUUUAAGUCAAUCCAUCUUGAAAGUUUGCUU
This 230-nucleotide long non-coding RNA is filed under the name Elaeis guineensis (African oil palm). RNAcentral's name for it is "long non-coding RNA (EGUI_LNC075658)". Lineage: Eukaryota; Viridiplantae; Streptophyta; Magnoliopsida; Arecales; Arecaceae. The record is from RNAcentral.